AUGGCCUCCAGCAUCACCCCCGCUGCCUCCUAUGUGACCAGCAGCAGGAAACGGUGUGACACCUCAUGCUGGAAUGCCCUCUCGCCCGUCAGGCAUGGCACGAGACACUGGCCUGGCUUCGCAUCCCGGCCCCGAUCCCCUCGCGGGAACUAUCGCUUAUGGACUGGUGGAGACAGGCCAAUGAAGACAUGCCGCCGACCCUGCGCAAGGCCCCGAAAUCUGUUGUGUUGCUCGUGCCUUGGAUGGUCUGGAAGCACCGAAACAGCUGUGUCUUUGAUAAUGCGACGCCUUCCCUCAACACACUACUAG
Molecule: ribosomal RNA, 309 nt
Filed under: Triticum aestivum (bread wheat)
Lineage: Eukaryota; Viridiplantae; Streptophyta; Magnoliopsida; Poales; Poaceae
Description: partial small subunit ribosomal RNA
Source: RNAcentral